UGUGGAGUCUCGGAAAGGGACAGGAAGGCGCAGCGAAGGUUCGCUCUCUUUCUUCUGUUUGAGAAGCAAUCUUCACUGGUCCACAAUCUUUCGUAGCCAGGGCAGGGAUAUCCACAGUGGCGUGCCUGGAGAAGAAUGGAUCACGCACGAUUGCAUACUACCAGGGAAAUGGGUACGAGCAUUACACUGAUCCUCCAAUUAUCCGCGUGAGAGAGCUCAUGCAUCGUCCUGUUUGAACGACACACAAACACAGACCUCUUCUUCUGCUGGUUGCGAAGGAUUCAAUUCAAGUGCGCAUUGUUUGUGGGGUGGUGCGUGAUUUGUGUCUGGGCAAUGCCAGGUAAUGUUCAGCGUCGCUUCCAGGACAGUUUUUACGUGCGGAGUUGGCCAGGUUGUGGGUGGGUAGCGUGGAGCUGCGGACUGGCAUCUGCAUAUAAUUCUCGAAGUUUGUGCAUUAAAGACAAAAGGAAACAACAAGAAGAAACAUGAACUGGCUGGUUACUUUUGUGGUCGGCGAGAUGGCCCUGGUUAGUAAGGACCAAGCCCCCAUUCCCCGGGCCUUCCACAUCAUGAUGAUGAAAUCUGAGACCGAUUAACGCGCAGAAACCGAGAUUCAGAGACUGUGAUUGUCAGGAGGGAUGCAGAAGUGGUGAGAGCCGGCUGUGUUGACAGGCAGGUCGUUUGCUGUAACUCGGUACAGACGGACAGGCAGAGGGACAGGGAAACGGAAAACGAUGAAGGUUUGUAGAAACUCGUGGGUUAGUCAAAGGUGUGGCACAUAUGGGAAAUUUUUGUCAUCAUCAACCAUACGAAAUAGGUCCGGAUCAUCAGUUGGAGGUGAAAAGAAAACUGGUAAGAUGUUUAUGCAGCUGGCAAACGCACAAAAAAAAACGCGUCAGACAGCCGCAACGAGACGGAUUCUCUCCUAAAAGCUCGUAAGCAACCACAGGAACAUUUACAGUUUCUUUUACUGAGAUGAACAGGAAUUGCAGAUGGUCCUUGUCCAGUUCCCUUCCGACCCUGCCAUGGCUCGUGAUGCCUUGGAUAUUAAAACAUCACCUCAUAAAGCUUUGGAACCGUUUCCCUGACUUUUCUUGGAACUUCUUACUGACGUCAAAGUAUUUAGAGCUUCUGUGCUCUUAUUAACCUUUACAAAUCACAGUCAAGUAUGCGGUGUGUAGACAAACUUCUAACUAGUGUAGCUUCGUGUGUGAAGAUAGCACAGCAGACAGGGUUCAAAGAGUAGCUCCUCAAACUUUGCAGUCUUCAUUCUCUUUCUUGCGUCAAAAAUCUCGAUGGUUUUUACGUAAUUAAGCACGACCAAGUGGUAGAGCUCGUGCAUGCACAUCUACCUCUCGCAAUCUCAAAUAUGCAGUGGCAAUAAAUAACGCAAUAUCUUCCCAACAACGC
This is a non-coding RNA of Physcomitrium patens, 1410 nucleotides long. The record is from RefSeq and is a predicted model, not a curated record. Lineage: Eukaryota; Viridiplantae; Streptophyta; Bryopsida; Funariales; Funariaceae.